AUUGAACGCUGGCGGCAGGCCUAACACAUGCAAGUCGAGCGGAUGAAGGGAGCUUGCUCCUGGAUUCAGCGGCGGACGGUUGAGUAAUGCCUAGGAAUCUGCCUGGUAGUGGGGGAUAACGUCCGGAAACGGGCGCUAAUACCGCAUACGUCCUGAGGGAGAAAGUGGGGGAUCUUCGGACCUCACGCUAUCAGAUGAGCCUAGGUCGGAUUAGCUAGUUGGUGGGGUAAAGGCCUACCAAGGCGACGAUCCGUAACUGGUCUGAGAGGAUGAUCAGUCACACUGGAACUGAGACACGGUCCAGACUCCUACGGGAGGCAGCAGUGGGGAAUAUUGGACAAAGGGCGAAAGCCUGAUCCAGCCAUGCCGCGUGUGUGAAGUAGGUCUUCGGAUUGUAAAGCACUUUAAGUUGGGAGGAAGGGCAGUAAGUUAAUACCUUGCUGUUUUGACGUUACCAACAGAAUAAGCACCGGCUAACUUCGUG
RNAcentral lists this ribosomal RNA (484 nucleotides) under uncultured bacterium. RNAcentral's name for it is "partial 16S ribosomal RNA". It matches the Rfam family "Bacterial small subunit ribosomal RNA", at positions 30 to 507 of the family's 1533-position model. The record is from RNAcentral.